RNAcentral lists this ribosomal RNA (765 nucleotides) under uncultured Streptococcus sp. RNAcentral's name for it is "bacterial SSU rRNA". It matches the Rfam family "Bacterial small subunit ribosomal RNA", at positions 28 to 776 of the family's 1533-position model. Lineage: Bacteria; Bacillati; Bacillota; Bacilli; Lactobacillales; Streptococcaceae. The record is from RNAcentral.
GACGAACGCUGGCGGCGUGCCUAAUACAUGCAAGUAGAACGCUGAAGAGAGGAGCUUGCUCUUCUUGGAUGAGUUGCGAACGGGUGAGUAACGCGUAGGUAACCUGCCUGGUAGCGGGGGAUAACUAUUGGAAACGAUAGCUAAUACCGCAUAAAAUUGAUUAUUGCAUGAUAAUUAAUUGAAAGAUGCAAUUGCAUCACUACCAGAUGGACCUGCGUUGUAUUAGCUAGUUGGUGAGGUAACGGCUCACCAAGGCGACGAUACAUAGCCGACCUGAGAGGGUGAUCGGCCACACUGGGACUGAGACACGGCCCAGACUCCUACGGGAGGCAGCAGUAGGGAAUCUUCGGCAAUGGGGGGAACCCUGACCGAGCAACGCCGCGUGAGUGAAGAAGGUUUUCGGAUCGUAAAGCUCUGUUGUAAGAGAAGAACGGGUGUGAGAGUGGAAAGUUCACACUGUGACGGUAUCUUACCAGAAAGGGACGGCUAACUACGUGCCAGCAGCCGCGGUAAUACGUAGGUCCCGAGCGUUGUCCGGAUUUAUUGGGCGUAAAGCGAGCGCAGGCGGCUAGAUAAGUCUGAAGUUAAAGGCUGUGGCUUAACCAUAGUAUGCUUUGGAAACUGUUUAACUUGAGUGCAGAAGGGGAGAGUGGAAUUCCAUGUGUAGCGGUGAAAUGCGUAGAUAUAUGGAGGAACACCGGUGGCGAAAGCGGCUCUCUGGUCUGUAACUGACGCUGAGGCUCGAAAGCGUGGGGAGCAAACAGG